GCGAUGGUCAAAUCAAAUAUAUGGAUAGUAGAAAGAGUAAAUGAUAAUUUUUGGCAUAGAUAGACAGAUGGAUAUGUAAUGUUUGAAAUUACACGGCGUUAUAGAGGAUUAAUUUAUACACUUAGCUUUCUCAUUGGAUAAAUAACUUUCUAUGGUAUUUACAAUUUUCAAGCUUUUUUACAUAUACCAACCUAAGAGAAAUUGUUUCGUGAAGCCUCCAUUGGAGAUAUUAAUAUUUACCCUUGUGCAUGAUUUGAUGUGCGUAAAAAUCUCCAACACAAGUAUAUGAGAGGUCGUAAAUUGAAUCUCAAACGGGAAGUGAAAUUUAUACGUGCGAGGCAUCCUUUUUGAGAAUACUGACUUUGCGCUUGUAUCCACGCUCUAAUUGCAUAUGCCUUCGUGCAUACGAAUUAGGAUAAGUUGGAAAUCAUAUUAUGUAGUAAAUGGUGUCUAUCGAAGAAGGUAUCAUUUCUACCAUAAAAACGAACUAAAAAUGUAUAGCAUGAAAGUUAGAGAUAAGAAACUCGAUCUUCGAAAAAGUAGAAUAUGAAUUAAUUAGCCAUAUUCUGGUCGCACAUUUUCACAUUUUCCGAUAAUAAUAAUAAUAUGCGAUAAUAAUAUGCCGAAAAUUUACUUAUUCAUCUUCUUUUGCUUAAAAAAUAAAACGUGGAUAUUACGAAUCAUUCAUGUGCUCGUAAUGUGAACGUCCGUGGGUCAGAGUCAAUGAGUACCUGUUCUUUCUCCUCCUCCUCCUUCUCCUCCUCUUCUUCUUCUUCUUUUUCUUCUUCUUCAUCUUCUUUCUUCUUUGCUUUUUUUUCGUUCAUUUCGAAGUGUAAUGACUCAUGGAUUUGUUUGAAUAAUACAAACAUGUUCAAUCGUUUGGAUUAUGCAUUUCUUCAUUUUGCAUCUAUGUAUAUAGUUCCUUUUAUUAAAAUCGGCGAAAGUUAAUGAUGAUUGCAAAUAUGUAUUACAAAUCUAUAUCUCCCGUUCGACGAAUAUAGAGAUAACGCGAUUAUUAUUCUGUCGUACGUUGUAUGUGAACGAAUCUAUGACUCAUAAAUUUAUACAGCCGUGUAUAGUGAAAUACAGUAUAUUUGAUUCGUGUACGAUGAGAAAAAAAUAUGUGGCAACUUUUGUUCUCUCUUCGUAUCAAAUACUUCACAUAUUUACAUAGCAGUGUGCAAGUUAUUGCUGACUAGUGUAAUAUUUAAAAUACAAAUCUGUUAUUGCUUAGAUGCGCUUUUUCUUAUUAAUAUGCAUCUCCGGAAGUUAUGAAAUGGGGAUUUAACGCGGCAAUAGUUACAUAUCGACUAACAGUAAGUAACUGCUACUCAAAUAUUAUAAAAUCGAAGGUGGAAAUGCUUACUGCUCGUUACGAUUCAAACGUUCCAAAUGUUUCAAAUAUCGAGCACUAAUGUGUGAAAGGUGUGUAGAAGAACGAGAGAGAGAGAGAGAGAGAGAGAGAGAGAGAGAGA
This is a long non-coding RNA of Bombus pascuorum, 1475 nucleotides long. RefSeq lists it as uncharacterized. The transcript has 2 exons. The record is from RefSeq and is a predicted model, not a curated record. NCBI's taxonomy places the organism in Eukaryota, Metazoa, Arthropoda, Insecta, Hymenoptera, Apidae.